Molecule: long non-coding RNA, 583 nt
Organism: Patiria miniata (bat star)
Lineage: Eukaryota; Metazoa; Echinodermata; Asteroidea; Valvatida; Asterinidae
Exons: 2
Source: RefSeq, a predicted model, not a curated record
CACUGCAGCAGCUGUGCAGUGAGUUUGUCUUAAGUUUAUUAAUUUUCUUAACAAGUUUUUCAUAGUUUAAAUUUAGAAUUCCAUUUUUAGAGUAUUACUUCAUAUUUAGUGAAAGAGCCUACAGUUAACUUUCACCUCAUAAAAGUGAAAGAGCCUACUUAUGUGUUGCAUUAAGUAGCCUCCUUCCCACCACCAGAGUGACCUUGUGCACUUCCCAUGUGCAUACAGAGACCUUGUGUGGGUACAAGUACCACAUAAUCUUGCCACAUAAACAAUGGGCAGCCAUAUUUACUGACCAUGUGAUUUCAGAGACAAGUGUUUUCAUACUCAUUGCGAUUUAGUUCUUCAAGUUUCAUCACUUUAUUCACUCUUUGUGGACCUUGAAAGACCCCAUUUUGAUUGUUAUCUCAAUCUACUCAAUCUACUAUCAGCAAUCACCACCAUGUUGUCAAGUGGCUUCAUUGUGUUUUGUGUGUGGUUCCUGGAUUGAUUGCGAAUACCAGUCACUUGGGAGUCCUUUUCUCAUAAGUUUGAGAACUAGUAGUCCGAAACUCCUCUGGGCACAAGUGAGCCCCGAGGCAGC